Small nucleolar RNA from Fukomys damarensis (Damara mole-rat), 134 nucleotides. Its record names the gene SNORA70. It matches the Rfam family "Small nucleolar RNA SNORA70". Rfam says of the family: snoRNA U70 seems to be exclusive to mammals and is a member of the H/ACA class of snoRNA which contain H (ANANNA) and ACA box motifs. The record is from Ensembl. Lineage: Eukaryota; Metazoa; Chordata; Mammalia; Rodentia; Bathyergidae.
CUGCAGUCAGUUAAGCCAGCUGGGUUCCUUUGCUGAUGGGUGCCCAGUGUGUAGUGCAUGCCAGCAGCAGCCUCCUCAGUAGAGUACUCACUUGUUACUUGUAGGGCCAGCCAAAGGGAACUUGGGAACCCUGC